Lolium perenne is the source of this 1460-nucleotide non-coding RNA. The record is from RefSeq and is a predicted model, not a curated record. Lineage: Eukaryota; Viridiplantae; Streptophyta; Magnoliopsida; Poales; Poaceae.
UAUUGCUCUGCACGGAGCCGUGUUAGGCGCUGGUGCCGCCGAUACCUUGACCGUCGACCGGCCGUUGUCCAGCAGCCAGAGGCCACUAGUCUCCAAGCGUGGCAAGUUUGCGAUGGGAUUUUUCCAGCCAGAUAACUCACAGAGAUGGUACAUCGGCAUAUGGUACAACAAAAUACCGGGGCAAGUACCAGUGUGGGUUGCAAAUAGGGACUCUCCAGUCUCCAGUCCAGAGACUUCAAGCCUAACCAUAUCAACCGAUGGUAAUAUGGCACUACAGGAAUCCGGCAAUAUGCCGACGGCCUACGGCCCUCGGCGUAGGACAGACUUGCCCUCAGCGUACGAUACGCCGACGGGGUCCCUCGGCGUAGCUCCUCGGGGAAGGUGGGCCUCGGCGGAGGCCACGUGGCCCUCGGCGUAGCGCCGCCCGUCGGCGUAGACGGAGAGGGCCGACGGCAGGCCCCACCCGUCGGCGUACUGGCCGUCGGCGCAGCUCGCUAACAGGCACCGUCAAGGUGACGGCCGUUACGGCUACGCCGAGGGGCGCACCGUCGGCAUACGUCCACACGUGGCAGGACCUGGGCGACCCUGCUGCUCCAUACGCCGAGGGCCUCCCCGUCGGGGUACCUCCACACGUGGCAGGACCUGGGCGACCCUGCUGCUCCAUACGCCGAGGGCCUCCCCGUCGGGGUACCUCCACACGUGGCGCGGCCUGGGCGUCCCUGGGCGACGGACGCUACGCCGAGGGCCUCACCGUCGGGGUAGAGGCGACCAUUUGGUCCAUUUCUGGACGCGUGGCGCGCCCUGGUGGAACCUGGGAGCUACCCCGAGGGUAGACCCGUCGGCGUAGAGGGUGCCAUUUGGUUCAUUUUUUUCGUUUUUUGCUGUUUCGCGCGUUUUCCAGAUUUGACAGGAUACACAAGCACAUAUAAUUCACAUGAAAUUCAUAGGCAUGAAGUGCAAAUACAUAUAACAUCAAGUGCAUACAUAGUGUCAUAGUGCCAUAGGUUGCAUACAUAGUGUCAUAGUGACAUGGGAUGCAUACAUAGUGCCAUAGUGUGCAUACAUGCAUGGUGCCAUAGUGUGCAUAAGAUACAUGGGACUACUAGAGGAGCUCGUCGCCGCUAAACACCGGCCCGGGCCGAUUCCUUCCGGUAGAAGCUGCGGAAGAACCACCGGGAGAAGGACCGGGAGAAGUACCGGGAGAAGUACCGGGUGUAGCACCGGGAGAAGGACCACCAUGAUGAACCGGUGUCAUGUCCCUCCCACCACCCUGGUUUCCGGAACAUCCCGUUCCCUACACACAUGUUCCCGAGAUGUUAGCAAUUUGCGAGGCAAAGGAAAGCCGUAGUAUUCGGUUUGGCGAAGAACUUACCGUUGUUCUCCCAUAGUACUCCGCAGCGAAAUUUUCCUUCGAUGGCAUGUUUGGCGCCGGCCCCGGAAAGGGAGGCAUCGGCCCUAAA